ACCGUUAAAUACUUAAAUUGGCCAAUAUGCCAUUACACCAGAAUUUUAUGAAUCUACUAAGUUAUAAAUAUUUUUUAAUUUUUUUGGCUCCUUUCAGUGUGACUAAUAUCACUACUACUGCCCUCUAUAUUCACAUAACUUUUUAAAUCUACAGUUUCUACCAUUUGGGAGCACCCUAUACUAUCAGUAAUUAAAUCUACAUCAAAACUAUUAAGUUCAGCAAAAAUACUGAAAUUAUUGUCGGGCGGUCCGGACUGGCCGGAGCAAUACUUGCAAGUAUAUUUUGUUUCUGACUCCUCCAGCUGCUGUUCCAAGUUCCUGGAUGCGUUGUAAUGCCUGCUCAUGUAUCUCCUGGCAAUUCCUGAACUGAUCAACAGCGGCUUGAAGUUCAUCCCGCUGACCCUGCAUGUCUUCAUACUCAAUAUCGUGAUUAGCGAGCUGAGUUUUAAGGGUUGUGUUUGUUCUAACAACACACUCAAAUUGCUGUUCACUCUCUUCCUGUUCUUGAAGGAGUCUUUUGUUCAACUCAGUGGCGGUUUUGAGUUCCUUCUGUAAUUGCUGCAUUUUAGCAACCAGGACAUCCCUGCGAGUAGUCAUCUUAGUAGUUUGUGCUGCAAACAUAUUCAUAAUGUAAAAUAUCUGACUCGCUAUACACAUUUUGGAAAGAUAAACUUCUUAGGCUGUCCUUAAAUUUGUGUACAUUUUCGUCGGAGUAGUCUUUAUUAAGAAUGGCGACAGUUUUCAGUAGAACAGGCCUUCUUUCAGGCUUAAAUGAGAACAAUUGGGCUGUAUCGUGGUCAGAGAGCCCUAAGGGGGAUAACUGUGCCAGUACUGUAAUUAAUAUUACUGAUGAUGUGAUCCAGGCACGCAUUUGGUCUUGUCGGUUUUUCUAUAUGGUCGCAAAAGUUGAAGUUUUUAAUUAUAUCUAAUAACUCGCAACUGUAUUUAUUAGUUUUAAGUGUAUCGAUAUUAAGGUCCCCUGUUAAUAUAAAUUUCUUUCUGGGGUAUCUUCUUGACAAUAUAAAUAGUAGUAACCUUAAUUUCUCAAAGAAUAAACUCAAGCAAGAUGACGGUGUUCUAUAGAUACAUACUAUUAUUAAAUUUAUGGACGCGAAAUCUCUACAGCACAGCAUUCAAAGGAGAACAUUUCAGCUAGAUCGUUUAUCGGUUUAACAGUUUUAUGUCUAAGACCUUUCCUUAUGGGGAUACAAGAGCCUCCUCUUUUACUUUUCCUAGAGAAAUGUGAUGCUAGUUCAUAAUGCCGCAACAAGAUGUUUCUUUCCUCACCGGACCUAAUAAAUGUCUCAGUUAGGCAGAUUACAUCUACGCUUAUACUUGAAUCACAUAGUUCUGAUAAACAUAAUUCUAGAUGAUCUUUUUUAUAUAAGAAGCUUGCAAUAUUUUGAUGCAAUACACUAAAACCUUUAUUCACGAAAAAAGUCUUCAUUUGGUUGUCCUGGCGGCGAAGUUGGCUGCUCGAUACUGUCCCGAAUAACUGACUCUCCCUCGCCCCGCGGCACGGAGGGUGAAUGAUUUGCUAUUGAGCUGUUAGAUGUUUUUUUUGAGAAGUAGUCUGAGAUUUUUCUUUGUACGUGCCUAUCCCUAGGUGAUUCUAAAUGGUAAUCUGUCUGCCGUGCUGCGCCAUUACUGGCAAUAAAUUGUCCCAGAUGACGUAUAAUAUUGGCCAUCCCGCGAUCACUUAGUCGUCCUGUCUUGCUAGAGAACAUAUCAAGCGAUAGAUCAAGGUUCGAAUCGAAUGAAAAGUGUUUAUCGUGAUGGGUCUCACUGCUACAUAACAAGGCGUUAAAGUUCUCGAUUCUGUAGUUGUAGAGGGUUCUGACACCUUAGCACAUUCCAAGUCAAAAUAAAACAGACAAAUAGCGCACUUUAGAUAGUCUCGAGUUGGUAUUUCUAGUUCACACGUAGCACAUAUCUUUUUAACAUGCUUUGAGCUCAUUUUUGUAUUCUUAUAUUUUUAUAGUACAAAAAGCCACAAUGUCCGUGCUGAGAUUUGAACCGGGUCCACUAUGACUGUGCUUCCGUAGUCACUGCCUUGUAGCUAUACGCCGCCGAGACGAUGACGUAGAAGGCGAAAGUUUGCAACACUUAUUGUCACUUCACUAAGUCUCAUCGCAUGACGAUUACAUGAUGACGUAUUGCCGAAGCCACACGGUAACACACGAAGUUUAACUGCGAGCACUCACGAUUGUUAUGCCCACCUUGCACCGCCG
Molecule: RNA transcript, 2231 nt
Organism: Cydia pomonella (codling moth)
Lineage: Eukaryota; Metazoa; Arthropoda; Insecta; Lepidoptera; Tortricidae
Exons: 2
Source: RefSeq, a predicted model, not a curated record